Molecule: ribosomal RNA, 520 nt
Filed under: uncultured Gigaspora
Lineage: Eukaryota; Fungi; Glomeromycota; Glomeromycetes; Diversisporales; Gigasporaceae
Description: SSU rRNA
Rfam family: Eukaryotic small subunit ribosomal RNA
Source: RNAcentral
AGCAGCCGCGGUAAUUCCAGCUCCAAUAGCGUAUAUUAAAGUUGUUGCAGUUAAAAAGCUCGUAGUUGAAUUUCGGGGUUCUACCGUUGGUCGGGCAAUAGUCUGUACUGGCGUGUGGAAUUUCUACCUUCUGGGGAACCAUCAUGUUAUUUAUUUAGCGUGGUGGGAAACCAGGACCUUUACCCUGAAAAAAUUAGAGUGUUCAAAGCAGGCUUACGUCUGAAUACAUUAGCAUGGAAUAAUAAAAUAGGACGGUGGUCCUGUUUUGUUGGUUUCUGAAUCACCGUAAUGAUUAAUAGGGAUAGUUGGGGGCAUUAGUAUUCAAUUGUCAGAGGUGAAAUUCUUGGAUUUAUUGAAGACUAACUUCUGCGAAAGCAUUUGCCAAGGAUGUUUUCAUUAAUCAAGAACGAAAGUUAGGGGAUCGAAGACGAUCAGAUACCGUCGUAGUCUUAACCAUAAACUAUGCCGACUAGGGAUCGGACGAUGUUAAUUUUUCUUGACUCGUUCGGCGCCUUACGGG